UCAGCUAAAUCCCCCUCUCCAAAAUCCAGUGAGCAAACUCUAAAUGUACUAACCCCAAGUUCAGGUUCCGAACCCCAUCCAGCUAAAUUAACCACACACAAUCUAAAGACGAAAAAGAAGAAUAAAUAAGAAAACAGAAAAUUUACUUGCCCGGAAACUAAUUAAAUUAAAACCCGGCAUAGCAGAAGCCGAUCGGCUAUCCAGCCGGAAAGUACACGGCGAAGAAAACAGGUGGGGGACGGUGGCUGUAAUGAUGAUGAUGAUGAUACGAAGGGGUUUUGUUUAUGGAAAAUGGCG
RNAcentral lists this unclassified non-coding RNA (297 nucleotides) under Hevea brasiliensis (rubber tree). Lineage: Eukaryota; Viridiplantae; Streptophyta; Magnoliopsida; Malpighiales; Euphorbiaceae. The record is from RNAcentral.